UACGUAGGGGGCGAGCGUUGUCCGGAGUUACUGGGCGUAAAGCGCACGCAGGCGGUCUGCUAAGUUUGGAGUGACAGUUGGUGGCUUAACUGCCAAAGUGCUUCGAAAACUGACAGACUUGAGGGCUUCAGAGGGACACGGAAUUCCACGUGUAGCAGUGAAAUGCGUAGAGAUGUGGAGGAAUACCAAUGGCGAAGGCAGCCCCCUGGGUUAACACUGACGCUCAUGCACGAAAGCGUGGGAGCAACAGG
RNAcentral lists this ribosomal RNA (251 nucleotides) under uncultured bacterium. RNAcentral describes it as "partial 16S ribosomal RNA". It matches the Rfam family "Bacterial small subunit ribosomal RNA", at positions 524 to 776 of the family's 1533-position model. The record is from RNAcentral.